This 742-nucleotide ribosomal RNA is filed under the name Hyphoderma populneum. RNAcentral's name for it is "LSU rRNA". It matches the Rfam family "Eukaryotic large subunit ribosomal RNA", at positions 136 to 861 of the family's 3401-position model. Lineage: Eukaryota; Fungi; Basidiomycota; Agaricomycetes; Polyporales; Hyphodermataceae. The record is from RNAcentral.
GUCCGAGUUGUAGUCUGGAGAAGCGUUUUCCGCGCUGGACCGUGUAUAAGUCUCUUGGAAUAGAGCGUCAUAGAGGGUGAGAAUCCCGUCUUUGACACGGACUACCAGUGCUUUGUGAUGCGCUCUCAAAGAGUCGAGUUGUUUGGGAAUGCAGCUCAAAAUGGGUGGUAAAUUCCAUCUAAAGCUAAAUAUUGGCGAGAGACCGAUAGCGAACAAGUACCGUGAGGGAAAAGAUGAAAAGCACUUUGGAAAGAGAGUUAAACAGUACGUGAAAUUGCUGAAAGGGAAACGCUUGAAGUCAGUCGCGUUGGUCAGAACUCAACCUAGUCUCGGCUUGGUGUAUUUUCUGCUCAACGGGCCAGCAUCAAUUUUGAUCAUUGGAAAAAGGCCGGAGGAAUGUGGCAUCUUCGGGUGUGUUAUAGCCUCUGGUUGCAUACAAUGGUUGGGAUUGAGGAUCUCAGCAUGCCUUUAUGGUCGGGGUUCGCCCACGUUCAUGCUUAGGAUGCUGGCGUAAUGGCUUUAAACGACCCGUCUUGAAACACGGACCAAGGAGUCUAACAUGCCUGCGAGUGUUUGGGUUGGGAAAACCCGAGCGCGUAAUGAAAAGUGAUAGUUGGGAUCCCUGUCGUGGGGGAGCACCGACGCCCGGACCAGACCUUUUGUGACGGAUCCGCGGUAGAGCAUGUAUGUUGGGACCCGAAAGAUGGUGAACUAUGCCUGAAUAGGGUGAAGCCAGAGGAAA